CAUGUAGGCGGCAUGACAAGUCUGGUGUGAAAUAUCUCGGCUCAACCGAGAAAACGCACUGGAAACUAUCAAGCUUGAGUAUCGGAGGGGAAGCUAGAAUUCCUGGUGUAGGGGUGAAAUCUGUAGAUAUCAGAAAGAAUACCGGUGGCGAAGGCGAGCUUCUGGCCAGAUACUGACGCUGAGAUGCGAAAGCGUGGGGAACGAACAGGAUUAGAUACCCUGGUAGUCC
Molecule: ribosomal RNA, 229 nt
Filed under: uncultured bacterium
Lineage: Bacteria
Description: partial 16S ribosomal RNA
Rfam family: Bacterial small subunit ribosomal RNA
Source: RNAcentral